Molecule: non-coding RNA, 2606 nt
Organism: Triticum urartu
Lineage: Eukaryota; Viridiplantae; Streptophyta; Magnoliopsida; Poales; Poaceae
Source: RefSeq, a predicted model, not a curated record
GAAGAUAAUCUGUUCAAUCUUUUCAAAGGUACAUUGGUGAAAUGCAGCAACCAGAUAAAAGAAAUGCAUUACUCCAUCACCACACUGAUGCUCCAUCUCCCUCUGAUGGCAAGUGCGACCCUGAUGAAGCUGCUCCCCUACAUCAAGGACUACCCCAACAGUGCGGCCUUGAUGGCACAACUCCCAUACACCAAGGACUAGCCCCAUGGUGCGGCCACGACAUCACUGCUCCCCUACACCGCCGACUACAACCUGAGAUCUUAGAACAGGUUUGCAGGUUCAUUGGAACAAAUGUUCAAAAGGAAGAUGCACAGUAAGAAUUACAGUAAGAAGUUCAACUACGAGCCCAGACAUGAGGUAUUUUAACCGCCAACAGAGGGUGUGUUGCGCGAAAAAAUAGUAAUCUUCGCUCCAAAUUCUUAGGUCACUGGCCCAGAUUGAUGCACGAGAGCUUCUAGAUGUUCUUCUCGAUCUUGAAUAUUCAUUUUCUCCAACUAUGCAAGAUUUGCUUGUGUAUAAGUUUGAUAAGGCCAGGGGCAAGAACAAAGUGGUUGAUUCAUUGAAUGAAGUAUGCGUUAUGUACAGUCCUCCAGAAUUCAGAAAUUGAUCUAUAAUUCUGUGAAGAGAAGGUUUUCAAACCCAAAGGAGCAUUGGCAACCUUAGGGACUUGGGCGCCAACGUGUAGUCCCAGCAGAAGUUGCUCACCCGGAAGGUGGUCUUCUCCAAGGCCUCCCUAGCCUUUGAACAAGACCGCUCCAUCAAGGGUAAACCAUUGAGUGGCAAUGAUACAUGUGUGUCCAUACGACAUAGUGAUUAGCAGCAUGAGGUGCUGAGCACAUCGCGUGUGUGUCUGUAUGUGUGCGCUGAUAUGUGGUUCAUGAGGAACAAACUGAUUAAGCAUGCUCCAAAGCUACGAGCGACUGAACUAGGUAUCUUUUCUAUUUUCAUGGUGAAGCCUGGUUUUAACUGCUAAAGAAUAGCAGGAGAUGGAAUCAUUGAAAUAUAAUCAAUUCUUAAGUAAAUGAACUGAGACUUGAUGGUUGUGUGUUAUUGGUACAAUAUGUAUUUUGGGCCUGAAUUGUGAAGCAAAUCGAGAAUUCCUGGUUACUUAUUAUUAGUAUAGUAUACCUUUUUUGGGCCUGAAUUCUGAACCUUGCUGAUUUUUUUGGUAGUGUGUUAUCAGUGUAGUAUGCAUUUUUGGCCUGAAUCCUUAACCUUAUCUAGGUAUUGAUUUUCUGCAAUCAGUGAAGCACUCAUGGUCAUGCUUAUUUGUUAGUCUACAUUACUUAUAGAUUUAGUUGUUUUGAUAUGUAUCCAUUCGUCGGUUAGUUAACUGAAAUUUGUUGGCAGUGGUUCUUUAUGUUCUUUAACUGUUAUACAGAAGCAGCGGACUGAAACAUUUAAAAACAAUCAGCUCUUUAUGAAUUAACUAAAGACUUGAUGGUUGCGUUAUUAUUAUAGUAUAUACAUUUUUGGGCUUGAAUUACAAAUCUGAUUCAAAUAUCCUUGUUUUGUGUUAUUAUGAUGGUAAUGUUAUCGAGCUUUGUUAAUGUUUUUUUCCUUUCCUUCCUGAACUUCUGAUACUCUCUGCACUGAUGAAAUGUUUUUGCAUGUCAGUUAAGUACCAGGGCAACCACAGAUGAUGUUCCUUCCUUUCAUUGAGUUGCCUUACUGUUAUGUCGUCCAACUUUUUGUUAAUAUACACACUCGACAACUUACUGUUAUAACGUCCAACUUUUUGUUAAUAUACACACUUGAUUCUGGAACCCAUGAACUCUUUGUCUCUCCGAGGACAUGUUUCACAUCUACUCCUGUUUGUAAAAAAACAUUAUAGUCUAUUAUGUGUUAUAUAGUCAAAAAAUACAUAAUUGGUUCUCUUCUAUGUGCUUUCCUUAAUGAAUACACUUGGUUCACAAAAGCCUUAGCAUAAUUUGUUGAACAAGUUUUGCCUAAUUUUAUUUCUUGCAUCUCCUGUGGUAAGUUUUAUUUCUUGGUACUUGUAAAAUUGUUCAGAUUACUUAGCUUCGUUCAACUGCUGUGUUGACUAAAUCUACUGUGCCUAUAAACAUACGUGCUUGCCCGUGACCAUGUCGGCUAUGUUGUUAUUCUUUCUUGAAUUGGUAGGUUGAAACCAAGAGGGCAUUGUAAACUUUGAUGACACUUUGUGGGAAACCAAUUACUUCAUGGCCAGAGGUGAUUUUGGAAUGGAGAUUUCAGUUGAGAAGAUAUCCCUUGCACAGAAAAUGAUGAUCUACAAGUGCAACCUUGCUGGUGAGCCUGUUGUCACAGCGAUUGUAGGCAACAUCCAUUCCAAUUGUCCAUUGGUUUAACUGCAGUUUUUUAUGUACAAUUUAUAGGCCGGACUGAUUUUUUUUACUUGCCCUGAUGAAGCUGUAGACUAUACACAUAAGUUGCUGAUUUUGCAUGCUAUACUUGUGUAAAUGUUGUUCCACCUUCCCACUUUGUAAUUUCAUGGCCAUUUCAGAUGAUCUAGACAUUUAAUGUAUGGAAUUUACAUUGGCACUAAAUAAGGAAUAUUGAAAGAUAGUAUGCCACAAUAUCUGUUAUGAGGUAAAAAAUAAUAAUUUUCUCACUUUAAUAUUUUA